GACAUAGGUGGCGAACGUUAUCCGGAAUUAUUGGGCGUAAAGGGUGCGUAGACAGUCUAGUAAGUUAGCAGCGGGAAAUCGAGGCCCAACCUCGUGGAAGCUGUUGAUACUGCUAUACUAGAGUGCAGGAGAGGUUAACGGAACUCAAUGUGGAGCGGUAAAAUGUGCAGAUAUAUUGAAGAACACCAAUAACGGCGAAGGCAGUUAACUAUUCUGUUACUGACGUUGAGGCACGAAAGCAUGGGGAGCAAAAAGG
Molecule: ribosomal RNA, 256 nt
Filed under: uncultured prokaryote
Description: partial 16S ribosomal RNA
Rfam family: Bacterial small subunit ribosomal RNA
Source: RNAcentral